GGGGGCGUUAAGGCUUCGACAAUUACAUUGCAGAGUUUUCUAAGCGUGCUGGCAGGCUCGACUGCCUAAAAACGGAAAUUAAAAUUAAACGCUGAUCAAAAAUUAGCACUUGCUGCUUAGUUGCGGCAGGGCAGAUGGUUAGGCUUACAUAACCAUUAUGCUCUUAAAUUGUAAGAUGCGCUUUGGCUUCUUGCUUGAAGAAGUAAAGCUAAGAAAAUUUCAAGCAAAUCAUUUUGCAGUUUGCCAAAUUGGGCAAAGUGAUUAACUUAAUUUGGCUGGGGCACGAAGAAGGGGGAACAAUGCAGUAGUUGGACGCGGGUUCAAUUCCCGCCGCCUCCACCA
Molecule: transfer-messenger RNA, 342 nt
Filed under: Christensenellales
Lineage: Bacteria; Bacillati; Bacillota; Clostridia
Also listed under: 1 other name
Description: UMGS2070 sp905203455 Standard tmRNA
Rfam family: transfer-messenger RNA
About the family: Bacterial tmRNA, also known as 10Sa RNA or SsrA, is named for its dual tRNA and mRNA-like properties. Its role is to liberate the mRNA from a stalled ribosome. To accomplish this part of the tmRNA is used as a reading frame that ends in a translation stop signal.
Source: RNAcentral